GUACUUCUGUGAAGUCUUAUUGUGGAAUCUUUGUUUCACCAGCUUCUUAUUUGGUUUAAAGGAAGUGCCCACUCGUGGUUGUGUUACUGGUAAAGAAGUGACCUCGUGCGAGCUUCCUGCCAAGCCAGCACCCCUUCCUCCACCUGCCAUAAAGCACAUUCUAGCAUUACAGAUGGAAGAUAAUGUUCUGCACCAGUUCUGCUGUCCGCCUUCGGGGUCUAGUAGUCCAUCCUCAAGAUAACAGCGGAGCUCGGGGUCGCUAAGUGUGCAGGCAGUGCCACAUCUGUAUAGUCCAUCUCUCCUCUCCUCUUACUGGUGUGUAUGGGACUGGCACUUGCAUGGAUGCCCUGGGAGUCUGGUGCGGGUCGAGGCUGAGUUGCUCAGGAUGGCACAGCGAUGCUUGGUCAUCUCCUCUCCUUGCUUUUCUACAGCUCUCUUCCUCCUGCCCACUGUUGAAAACACAACCAAACUGUAACCAAACACAUCAAGUGCACAGUUGAUUUGGAACUGAAAUAAACAGUACC
This is a long non-coding RNA of Dryobates pubescens (Downy woodpecker), 524 nucleotides long. RefSeq lists it as uncharacterized. Lineage: Eukaryota; Metazoa; Chordata; Aves; Piciformes; Picidae. The transcript is spliced from 3 exons. The record is from RefSeq and is a predicted model, not a curated record.